RNAcentral lists this ribosomal RNA (253 nucleotides) under uncultured prokaryote. Its description in RNAcentral is "partial 16S ribosomal RNA". It matches the Rfam family "Bacterial small subunit ribosomal RNA", at positions 524 to 776 of the family's 1533-position model. The record is from RNAcentral.
UACGUAGGAGGCGAGCGUUGUCCGGAGUUACUGGGCGUAAAGCGCGCGUAGGCGGCUCGUUAAGUGUGAAGUGAAAUCCCGGGGCUCACCUCCGGAACUGCUUUACAUACUGGCGGGCUUGAGGGAUGCAGAGGUCUGUGGAAUUCCUGGUGUAACGGUGAAAUGUGUUGAUAUCAGGAGGAACACCCAUGGCGAAGGCAGCAGACUGGGCAUUUCCUGACGCUGAGGCGCGAAAGCGUGGGUAGCAAACAGG